GAUGAACGCUAGCGGCAGGCCUAAUACAUGCAAGUCGAACGGGUUCAAGUAGCAAUACUUGGAUCAGUGGCGCACGGGUGCGUAACGCGUAUGCAACCUACCUUAAACUGGGGGAUAGCCUUCCGAAAGGAAGAUUAAUACCGCAUAAGAUCACGAGAGGGCAUCUGAUUGUGAUUAAAGAUUUAUUGGUUUAAGAUGGGCAUGCGUGCCAUUAGCUAGUUGGUAGGGUAACGGCCUACCAAGGCUACGAUGGCUAGGGGUUCUGAGAGGAUGAUCCCCCACACUGGCACUGAGAUACGGGCCAGACUCCUACGGGAGGCAGCAGUAGGGAAUAUUGGGCAAUGGACGCAAGUCUGACCCAGCCAUGCCGCGUGCAGGAAGAAGGCCUUCUGGGUUGUAAACCUCUUUUAGCAGGGAAGAAGCGAAAGUGACGGUACCUGCAGAAAAAGCACCGGCUAACUACGUGU
Molecule: ribosomal RNA, 467 nt
Filed under: uncultured bacterium
Lineage: Bacteria
Description: bacterial SSU rRNA
Rfam family: Bacterial small subunit ribosomal RNA
Source: RNAcentral